This 82-nucleotide transfer RNA is filed under the name Saccoglossus kowalevskii. RNAcentral's name for it is "tRNA-Ser". It matches the Rfam family "tRNA". From Rfam's summary of the family: Transfer RNA (tRNA) molecules are approximately 80 nucleotides in length. Their secondary structure includes four short double-helical elements and three loops (D, anti-codon, and T loops). The record is from RNAcentral. Lineage: Eukaryota; Metazoa; Hemichordata; Enteropneusta; Harrimaniidae.
GUUGUCGUGGCCGGGUGGUUAAGGCGAUGUACUAGAAAUCCAUUGGGCUCUGCCCGCACAGGUUCGAAUCCUUCCGACUACG